This 98-nucleotide microRNA precursor is filed under the name Pteropus alecto (black flying fox). RNAcentral describes it as "mir-544 microRNA precursor family". It matches the Rfam family "mir-544 microRNA precursor family". Lineage: Eukaryota; Metazoa; Chordata; Mammalia; Chiroptera; Pteropodidae. RNAcentral also lists the same sequence under 1 other name. The record is from Rfam by way of RNAcentral.
AUCACCUGAGGAUCUUGUUGAAGGGCAGAUUCUGACCGAGAGGGUGUGGGGUGGGACCUGAGACUCUGCAUUUUUAAUAAGCUCUCAGGUGAAGCUAA